GCCGUUGAAUUAAUUUAAUUCAUUUUGCACAUUUCACAAUUUGGGAGCUUUUCCUCCACCUAUAUCUAACCCCACUUCCCUCCAACCCUUACCAAAAGAGGCAGGGAGGAAGUGGGAGAAAAAUGAUGAACUACUCAAAUCAUUAUUGAAGUUCUCGCCAUAGUAGACAUUCUCAGCUCUUGGUCAAGUCUGACAGUGAAGGUGUGCAACUCAUCCGACCAUGAACUAAGAUCAGAACACUAAUAUUCCAGAGUGAUAGAGGUGUCUUUUUUUUAAACUUAAAAACUGAUCUGUAUAUAACAGUCUUAACCACUUUACUAUGGUGGUUCUUCUUCAUCCGAUAUCAAAUAGUGUCCAACUGCCACACUGGAUUUCAAGGAGCAGCAUCUAUUUUUCUUUGAAAGGCUUCUGAUGCGUUUUCGUCACUGAAGAUAAUCAUUGAUGGGCUAAGACAUGAUGUAUCAAACUGGUAAAUGUAGUUAACUGGAGAACUUUUUGCACACACUUGGGAGCUCAAUUAAGAAUUAAAACUGACGCUUCAAAGAUCAAAAUUUAUGGAGAAAUAUUGACACAAGCACCUUUUUGCAAACUCAAAAUAGAACUGCAUGUUUCCAUCCAUUUAACUAUCUUAGUUAGGGAAUAUUUCUUGUAUACAUGGUGUCAAGCUUUUUUCAUUGAUAGACAUGCUAAUAGUAUAGACAUGUGGAUUGGGCGCAAUGAAGGUUGUUGAAAGUUGUAAUUUGCAAUUAUGUUUAGGAUGGGAAAUCAAAUAGCACAACUCUGGAUGCUGCUUCAAUUCCUCUCUCAACCGCACCGAGUGUCAGAGUAGCAAAAAUUAUACCUAAUCAAGCAAAUUAGCGAAAAUGUCCCAGUUAUGACGGGCGAAGAUCAACGGCCUAUUCUUGAGGCAGAAGGAAGAGGAAAAACCUAAAAAGGAAUAUUCUUUCGUGGAAGAGUAAGAAGAAUAUGAAGACUUUGCCCAAGGAUAGAGGAUCUACAACACCAGGCUGGACAGGGGUUGGGUUUGAUGUAGAUGGUAGAAGCUAGAAACACCAUUUCUGAUGCUUUUCUGAGCAGAACCAAUGAGAUUACUUCUGCAAUAUUUGGUUGACAUUUUCCGUUCCUGUCCCUUUAAUUUUUGAAAGGUCGAUACAGAAAAUGCCAUCUCGCUUUUCAGACUGCACAUCGCUGGUUGACUAUCAACAAUAUUCUCCCAUCAGUCAAGCAAUGUUUCAACAAUGUUAUAAUUAUCUUUUCUUUCUUUUCAAUGUUACCCAUCAUUUUCUGCCGGAGGAGUGAGCUGAAAUCUAUAGAGACCCCUCCCACAACCCAUCAUUUUCUUUCUUUCUUUCUUUCUUUCUUUCUUUCUUUUUGGCUUUAUCUUUGCUAUUGAGGAUUGGCUAUAGUCCUUUCUCAGAUGAGUCUAUCAACUAUCAAUACAUGUGGUGUUAAAAGCUGGGGGCAGGGUGCAAGGGUUAGUGUUUUUCCAUGAGAUGCUUCUUUGAAGCUAAACUAAUCUGAUUCUGAUUAGUGAUUACAAAUUUCAACUAUUUAUCCUCAAGAAAGAAAGAAAAGACAGAAAGUGAAGGGUUGAAUUGGCGAAUUGGCAUUUUAUCACCGACUUGGGGCGGAGUAAUCAUUUCCAGGUUCUGAAACUUUAGUUUCUUUUGAAUGUACUUUGUAAUCAUUUAGUUGUUUGACACUGAAUAUACAGUUUCCAAAUGCUUCUUUCACUUUUUUCACUUAGCUUUACCGCUAUCCAGGUUUGAAUGCCCUCUAAAGGUUCCAUAAUUUCUUGCCAUCUUGAAUCCACUCUUUGAAUAUCCAUUUGUAAUCAUGUGUCCACGUAAUGCAUUAUUGACAUUUCCAUGUUCAAACAGUUGUUUUUUUAAAAUAUUAUUACAAUUUUCUUCCAUAUAUGCCCUCAGACAAUCCAAAGGCAGUUGCAAAUUGAAAAAUAUGAGGAAUUAUCAGGAACCCAACUGUACUAGAAAAUGCUCCAUCAAUGCACCGCAUUGUCGUGUCCUUACUUUAGAAUUUAGAUUGAUCCCACCUUGCAUAUGUUUGUACUAUGCAGGGCUCGUUCAUGUUCAGUUGUUCAUAUGUUCGUCACGAUGUGUAAUUCCUUGUUAUGCCCUUCUUAUUCUCCUUUUAGCAUCUUUGUACUGAUGGGAUAUAAAGAUUGAAGAAACACUUUUUUUUUUCCUUUUUCAA
Long non-coding RNA from Manihot esculenta (cassava), 2214 nucleotides. RefSeq lists it as uncharacterized. The record is from RefSeq and is a predicted model, not a curated record. The transcript has 2 exons. Lineage: Eukaryota; Viridiplantae; Streptophyta; Magnoliopsida; Malpighiales; Euphorbiaceae.